RNAcentral lists this ribosomal RNA (898 nucleotides) under uncultured bacterium. RNAcentral describes it as "bacterial SSU rRNA". It matches the Rfam family "Bacterial small subunit ribosomal RNA", at positions 12 to 906 of the family's 1533-position model. The record is from RNAcentral.
UUUGAUCCUGGCUCAGAUUGAACGCUGGCGGCAUGCUUUACACAUGCAAGUCGAACGGUAACAGGGAGCUUGCUCCGCUGACGAGUGGCGAACGGGUGAGUAAUAUAUCGGAACGUACCCAAGAGUGGGGGAUAACGUAGCGAAAGUUACGCUAAUACCGCAUACGAUCCAAGGAUGAAAGCAGGGGAUCUUCGGACCUUGUGCUCCUGGAGCGGCCGAUAUCUGAUUAGCUAGUUGGUGAGGUAAUGGCUCACCAAGGCGACGAUCAGUAGCUGGUCUGAGAGGACGACCAGCCACACUGGAACUGAGACACGGUCCAGACUCCUACGGGAGGCAGCAGUGGGGAAUUUUGGACAAUGGGCGCAAGCCUGAUCCAGCAAUGCCGCGUGAGUGAAGAAGGCCUUCGGGUUGUAAAGCUCUUUUGUCAGGGAAGAAACGGGAGUGGCUAAUAUCCAUUCCUAAUGACGGUACCUGAAGAAUAAGCACCGGCUAACUACGUGCCAGCAGCCGCGGUAAUACGUAGGGUGCAAGCGUUAAUCGGAAUUACUGGGCGUAAAGCGUGCGCAGGCGGUUUUGUAAGUCUGACGUGAAWUCCCCGGGCUCAACCUGGGAAUUGCGUUGGAGACUGCAAGGCUAGAAUCUGGCAGAGGGGGGUAGAAUUCCACGUGUAGCAGUGAAAUGCGUAGAGAUGUGGAGGAACACCGAUGGCGAAGGCAGCCCCCUGGGUCAAGAUUGACGCUCAUGCACGAAAGCGUGGGGAGCAAACAGGAUUAGAUACCCUGGUAGUCCACGCCCUAAACGAUGUCUACUAGUUGUCGGGUUUUAAUUAACUUGGUAACGCAGCUAACGCGUGAAGUAGACCGCCUGGGGAGUACGGUCGCAAGAUUAAAACUCAAAG